RNAcentral lists this ribosomal RNA (238 nucleotides) under Rigidoporus microporus. Its description in RNAcentral is "partial large subunit ribosomal RNA". Lineage: Eukaryota; Fungi; Basidiomycota; Agaricomycetes; Polyporales; Meripilaceae. The record is from RNAcentral.
AAACACUUGAAGUCAGUCGCGUUGUUCAGAACUCAGCCUGGCCUUGGCUUGGUGCAUUUUCUGAAUAACGGGCCAGCAUCAAUUUUGACUGUUGGAUAAAGGCUAGGGAAAUGUGGCUCCUUUGGGAGUGUUAUAGUCCUUGGUUGCAUACAAUGGUUGGGAUUGAGGAACUCAGCAUGCCUUUAUGGUCGGGGUUCGCCCACGUUCAUGCUUAGGAUGCUGGCGUAAUGGCUUUAAA